This 433-nucleotide ribosomal RNA is filed under the name uncultured bacterium. Its description in RNAcentral is "partial 16S ribosomal RNA". It matches the Rfam family "Bacterial small subunit ribosomal RNA", at positions 29 to 507 of the family's 1533-position model. The record is from RNAcentral.
AACGAACGCUGGCGGCAUGCCUAACACAUGCAAGUCGAACGAUACCUUCGGGUCUAGUGGCGCACGGGUGCGUAACGCGUGGGAACCUGCCCUUAGGUUCGGAAUAACUCAGAGAAAUUUGAGCUAAUACCGGAUAAUGUCUUCGGACCAAAGAUUUAUCGCCUUUGGAUGGGCCCGCGUAGGAUUAGCUUGUUGGUGGGGUAAUGGCCUACCAAGGCGACGAUCCUUAGCUGGUCUGAGAGGAUGAUCAGCCACACUGGGACUGAGACACGGCCCAGACUCCUACGGGAGGCAGCAGUGGGGAAUAUUGGACAAUGGGCGAAAGCCUGAUCCAGCAAUGCCGCGUGAGUGAUGAAGGCCUUAGGGUUGUAAAGCUCUUUUACCAGGGAUGAUAAUGACAGUACCUGGAGAAUAAGCGCCGGCUAACUCCGUG